Molecule: long non-coding RNA, 958 nt
Filed under: Capra hircus (goat)
Lineage: Eukaryota; Metazoa; Chordata; Mammalia; Artiodactyla; Bovidae
Description: lncRNA (ENSCHIG00000008319.1)
Source: RNAcentral
CCCGCCCCAGCCGAGCCGAGCGGAGCCGAGCGCGCAGCCGGGCCGCCGCCGCCGCCGUCUCGUAGAUGCCAUCACAGCAACAAAGAGCUCGCUGAGCUGAGAGCCGCGACAAGAGCUCGCCUGGAAGCCCUCCACCGUGCCCGCUCCAGGAGCUGGGUGACAGCAGGAGGAAACGCUCCGGGGGUCUGGGGGAGGAGAGGGGACAGGAGAUGGCCAAGAAGAGAAAGCCCCCCAGCAUCAAGGGGUGACAAGUUCUGCAUCCAUUUUCCCACCCUCCAGCCUCAAGAGGAGAUAGAAACUGUCUGGCUCUCUUUUCCCCCCAUGGUCAAGGGGAUUUGCUACGGGUCGGGUCCCUGCAGGCUUUUCCCGUCUUCCCGACCUGCUGAGGCGGGCAGUGACUCCCCUUGUUGAGGCGGGCCCCUGUUGCUCCUUUGGAACCAGGGCUUCUAAAGUUGGAAAGUUCAGAGGGGGAGAAGCUCUGGCAGGGAGGAUAAGGAUGAGCUUGUUGCCGGGUGACUUCAGGCAUCGCGGAGUGGUCGAGAGCUGAACUCUGGAGGAAUCCUCGUAGGCGGCGUCCAGCAGGAGCUGGGUAUCCAGGACUCGCCCGGCGCCGCGCUGCGCGCCGGGAGCGGGUGCACUCGCCGCCCGCGACCGCAGCGCGGACUAGCAGAGGUGGCCGCUGGCCGGCGGACUCGCGCUUCGACUCUUGCGCUGGGGAGCUAGAGGUGGCGGAGAGGUGGUCUUGCAGCACUGCAGAGAGGUGGAAACCAGCUGGGCACCAUGCGCGGUGAGGAAGACUGUGCCGGGGAACUGCUUGGUGGGAAGGAGGAAGCAGUGGCGUUUGAAGUUGGAUUUCAACCCAAUGGGCCUAAUAGCCCGGGAGGCGGACAUUUAUCGCACUUUGGGGUUUAAUAAAACGCGACCACACUGAGAUGCGAAGGGAUGUACUCUUGAAAAU